Molecule: ribosomal RNA, 448 nt
Filed under: uncultured organism
Description: partial 16S ribosomal RNA
Rfam family: Bacterial small subunit ribosomal RNA
Source: RNAcentral
ACACUCCUACGGGAGGCAGCAGUGGGGAAUAUUGGACAAUGGGCGCAAGCCUGAUCCAGCCAUGCCGCGUGAGUGAUGAAGGCCCUAGGGUUGUAAAGCUCUUUCACCGGUGAAGAUAAUGACGGUAACCGGAGAAGAAGCCCCGGCUAACUUCGUGCCAGCAGCCGCGGUAAUACGAAGGGGGCUAGCGUUGUUCGGAUUUACUGGGCGUAAAGCGCACGUAGGCGGACUAUUAAGUCAGGGGUGAAAUCCCGGGGCUCAACCCCGGAACUGCCUUUGAUACUGGUAGUCUUGAGUUCGAGAGAGGUGAGUGGAAUUCCGAGUGUAGAGGUGAAAUUCGUAGAUAUUCGGAGGAACACCAGUGGCGAAGGCGGCUCACUGGCUCGAUACUGACGCUGAGGUGCGAAAGCGUGGGGGGCAAACAGGAUUAGAAACCCCGGUAGUCCCA